CGGCGUGGAUAAGACAUGCAAGUCGAACGAGAGAAUUGCUAGCUUGCUAAUAAUUCUCUAGUGGCGCACGGGUGAGUAACACGUGAGUAACCUGCCCCCGAGAGCGGGAUAGCCCUGGGAAACUGGGAUUAAUACCGCAUAGUAUCGAAAGAUUAAAGCAGCAAUGCGCUUGGGGAUGGGCUCGCGGCCUAUUAGUUAGUUGGUGAGGUAACGGCUCACCAAGGCGAUGACGGGUAGCCGGUCUGAGAGGAUGUCCGGCCACACUGGAACUGAGACACGGUCCAGACACCUACGGGUGGCAGCAGUCGAGAAUCAUUCACAAUGGGGGAAACCCUGAUGGUGCGACGCCGCGUGGGGGAAUGAAGGUCUUCGGAUUGUAAACCCCUGUCAUGUGGGAGCAAAUUAAAAAGAUAGUACCACAAGAGGAAGAGACGGCUAACUCUGUGCCAGCAGCCGCGGUAAUACAGAGGUCUCAAGCGUUGUUCGGAAUCACUGGGCGUAAAGCGUGCGUAGGCCGUUUCGUAAGUCGUGUGUGAAAGGCGCGGGCUCAACCCGCGGACGGCACAUGAUACUGCGAGACUAGAGUAAUGGAGGGGGAACCGGAAUUCUCGGUGUAGCAGUGAAAUGCGUAGAUAUCGAGAGGAACACUCGUGGCGAAGGCGGGUUCCUGGACAUUAACUGACGCUGAGGCACGAAGGCCAGGGGAGCGAAAGGGAUUAGAUACCCCUGUAGUCCUGGCAGUAAACGGUGCACGCUUGGUGUGCGGGGAAUCGACCCCCUGCGUGCCGGAGCUAACGCGUUAAGCGUGCCGCCUGGGGAGUACGGUCGCAAGAUUAAAACUCAAAGAAAUUGACGGGGACCCGCACAAGCGGUGGAGUAUGUGGCUUAAUUCGAUGCAACGCGAAGAACCUUACCUGGGCUUGACAUGUAAUGAACAACAUGUGAAAGCAUGCGACUCUUCGGAGGCGUUACACAGGUGCUGCAUGGCCGUCGUCAGCUCGUGUCGUGAGAUGUUUGGUUAAGUCCAGCAACGAGCGCAACCCCUGUUGCCAGUUACCAGCACGUGAAGGUGGGGACUCUGGCGAGACUGCCCAGAUCAACUGGGAGGAAGGUGGGGACGACGUCAGGUCAGUAUGGCCCUUAUGCCCAGGGCUGCACACGUACUACAAUGCCCAGUACAGAGGGGGCCGAAGCCGCGAGGCGGAGGAAAUCCUAAAAACUGGGCCCAGUUCGGACUGUAGGCUGCAACCCGCCUACACGAAGCCGGAAUCGCUAGUAAUGGCGCAUCAGCUACGGCGCCGUGAAUACGUUCCCGGGUCUUGCACACACCGCCCGUCACA
Molecule: ribosomal RNA, 1340 nt
Filed under: uncultured bacterium
Lineage: Bacteria
Description: bacterial SSU rRNA
Rfam family: Bacterial small subunit ribosomal RNA
Source: RNAcentral